GCGGGGUAACGGCCCACCAAAGCGACGAUCAGUAGCCGACCUGAGAGGGUGACCGGCCACAUUGGGACUGAGACACGGCCCAAACUCCUACGGGAGGCAGCAGUGGGGAAUAUUGCACAAUGGGGGAAACCCUGAUGCAGCGACGCCGCGUGGGUGAAGAAGUAUUUCGGUAUGUAAAGCCCUAUCGGCAGGGAAGAAAAAGACGGUACCUGACUAAGAAGCCCCGGCUAACUAC
RNAcentral lists this ribosomal RNA (235 nucleotides) under uncultured bacterium. RNAcentral describes it as "partial 16S ribosomal RNA". It matches the Rfam family "Bacterial small subunit ribosomal RNA", at positions 252 to 504 of the family's 1533-position model. The record is from RNAcentral.